GCAUCACUGUAACAGUCCCGCUAGGUGGCAUCACUGUCACAGUCCCGCUAGGUGGCAUCACUGUCACAGUCCCGCUAGGUGGCAUCACUGUAACAGUCCCGCUAGGUGGCAUCACUGUCACAGUCCCGCUAGGUGGCAUCACUGUAACAGUCCCGCUAGGUGGCAUCACUGUCACAGUCCCGCUAGGUGGCAUCACUGUCACAGUCCCGCUAGGUGGCAUCACUGUCACAGUCCCGCUAGGUGGCAUCACUGUCACAGUCCCGCUAGGUGGCAUCACUGUAACAGUCCCGCUAGGUGGCAUCACUGUCACAGUCCCGCUAGGUGGCAUCACUGUAACAGUCCCGCUAGGUGGCAUCACUGUAACAGUCCCGCUAGG
This is a long non-coding RNA of Oncorhynchus keta (chum salmon), 376 nucleotides long. RefSeq lists it as uncharacterized. NCBI's taxonomy places the organism in Eukaryota, Metazoa, Chordata, Actinopteri, Salmoniformes, Salmonidae. The transcript has 3 exons. The record is from RefSeq and is a predicted model, not a curated record.